UUCAGCUCCAAAUCACACCCUGUAUCCCUGUACCCUGAGAGAGGUUCAGCUCCAAAUCACACCCUGUACCCCUGUACCCUGAGAGAGGUUCAGCUCCAAAUCACGCCCUGUACCCCUGUACCCUGAGAGAGGUUCAGCUCCAAAUCACACCCUGUACCCCUGUACCCUGAGAGGUUAUACUCCAAAUCACACGCUGUACCCCUGUACCCUGAGAGAGGUUCAGCUCCAAAUCACACCCUGUAUCCCUGUACCCUGAGAGAGGUUCAGCUCCAAAUCACGCCCUGUACCCCUGUACCCUGAGAGAGGUUCAGCUCCAAAUCACAC
Molecule: long non-coding RNA, 324 nt
Organism: Anguilla anguilla (European eel)
Lineage: Eukaryota; Metazoa; Chordata; Actinopteri; Anguilliformes; Anguillidae
Exons: 2
Source: RefSeq, a predicted model, not a curated record